RNAcentral lists this ribosomal RNA (248 nucleotides) under Apilactobacillus micheneri. RNAcentral's name for it is "Lactobacillus micheneri partial 16S ribosomal RNA". It matches the Rfam family "Bacterial small subunit ribosomal RNA", at positions 1293 to 1533 of the family's 1533-position model. The record is from RNAcentral. Lineage: Bacteria; Bacillati; Bacillota; Bacilli; Lactobacillales; Lactobacillaceae.
UCGGAUUGCAGGCUGCAACUCGCCUGCAUGAAGUUGGAAUCACUAGUAAUCGUGGAUCAGCAUGCCACGGUGAAUACGUUCCCGGGCCUUGUACACACCGCCCGUCACACCAUGAGAGUUUGUAACACCCAAAGACGAUGGAGUAACCUUCGGGAGCUAGUUGUCUAAGGUGGGACAGAUGAUUAGGGUGAAGUCGUAACAAGGUAGCCGUAGGAGAACCUGCGGCUGGAUCACCUCCUUUCUAAGGA